Molecule: long non-coding RNA, 405 nt
Filed under: Ananas comosus (pineapple)
Lineage: Eukaryota; Viridiplantae; Streptophyta; Magnoliopsida; Poales; Bromeliaceae
Description: long non-coding RNA (ACOM_LNC038528)
Source: RNAcentral
UCCCCUCUCUCUCUACCAUCUCUCUCUCUCAAUUAUCUCUCUACCAUCUCUCUCUAGGCAUAUUGCAUUAUAUAGUCCUUUUCUUUUUUCUUUUUUUUUUUUUGAGAGAGAUAGAUAGCACGCUACCCGCUUUGUUUAUCUCAUUUAGAAAUAAACUUAGCUAGAAAUGUGAAUCAACUAAGAUUUGAACUUGGGUCUCGAGUACCAACCAUCAAGCUCUUUGCCACUUGCUCUAGGGACGGUCGGUAUAUAGUCCUUAUCACAUGGAAAAUUCUUUGGGCCCCCUCUUAUGGUUGGGUAUACCUAAUGUUUGGUCAGUGUUGUACAAGUAAAUCUGUGUCUUUAUAAUUUGAUCAUCUCUCUGUUAUUAGGCAGAUAUUUUAGUAUAUAUGUAGUUUUUUUGAU